UACGUAGGUGACCAGCGUUGUCCGGAUUUACUGGGCGUAAAGAGCGCGCAGGCGGUCGUUCAAGUCGAGUGUGAAAGCCCCCGGCUCAACUGGGGAGGGUCAUUCGAUACUGAUCGACUUGAAGGCAGGAGAGGGAAGUGGAAUUCCCAGUGUAGUGGUGAAAUACGUAGAGAUUGGGAAGAACACCAGUGGCGAAGGCGGCUAUCUGGACGGUUUCUGACGCUAAGACGCGAAAGCGUGGGGAGCAAACAGG
RNAcentral lists this ribosomal RNA (253 nucleotides) under uncultured bacterium. RNAcentral describes it as "partial 16S ribosomal RNA". It matches the Rfam family "Bacterial small subunit ribosomal RNA", at positions 524 to 776 of the family's 1533-position model. The record is from RNAcentral.